CGUCACAGGAUAUGCGGUUCAACCAUGGUUCAACAUUGAUUUUGUUUGUUAGGAAAUGCGCAUUGGUCCCAAAUUAAUAUACAUGGUUAGUUACUUAGUAACGUUUCUGGGACUUGUGUUUAUGAUAGUGAUGGUUGUGAUUAUAGUUUUGAGCCGCUUAGAAAGAAAGGAAGACUUUGAAGCCAAUGUUGCGUAAACAUAGGCGUAUUUGUGGUUGCUUUCAGUGCCGCAACGCCUCGUAAUGUUAUUAGGAUGCAACCAGCUACAGAUUGUGGCACAAGUUGGAACAAAUGAUGCCUGGUCAUCUGGGCUCUGAGGUCAUACUUGGGUCAUUCCUGCGACUAGCAGAGAAGAUUGAGAAGACCUUCCUUGUGGAUGGAGUUUCUAUGAAGCUCACAAUUUGUAGCAUUGUCCCCAGAACUGAACAUGGCCCUGAGUUGUGUGGAAGGACUGAACAAGAGACUCGGAAGGUUCUGUACCAAGAAUCUACCAAAAGAGUGCGACUUUGAACUGUGACUCAUCGAUGGCUGCCAUAAGAUGGAUGUGGUGAUGGUUUUAACCAGGCAAAGAAUGUUGCUGCAACAUGAGAAAAGUAGUUUGUUUUGCUAGAACAUGUAAAGGAAAAAUGUUAAGGUAAUAUUCUGAAAACAGGAUUUUUUACAGAAUAUAAUUAUAAUUUUCAAUAUGUCCAGUUAAUCUCUUUUUAAAGCCAUUAUCUCUAAGAUUAUGUAAGUUAGAAAAUAUUGUGUAUUACCUUACUAAUUAUCAUCAAUAAAAUAUAUUUUGUAUUGUUCA
Molecule: long non-coding RNA, 795 nt
Organism: Schistocerca cancellata (South American locust)
Lineage: Eukaryota; Metazoa; Arthropoda; Insecta; Orthoptera; Acrididae
Exons: 5
Source: RefSeq, a predicted model, not a curated record